Molecule: ribosomal RNA, 497 nt
Filed under: uncultured bacterium
Lineage: Bacteria
Description: partial 16S ribosomal RNA
Rfam family: Bacterial small subunit ribosomal RNA
Source: RNAcentral
GAUGAACGCUGGCGGCGUGCCUAAUACAUGCAAGUCGAGCGAACAGACGAGGAGCUUGCUCCUCUGACGUUAGCGGCGGACGGGUGAGUAACACGUGGAUAACCUACCUAUAAGACUGGGAUAACUUCGGGAAACCGGAGCUAAUCCCGGAUAAUCUAUUGAACCGCAUGGUUCAAUAGUGAAAGACGGUUUUGCUGUCACUUAUAGCUGGAUCCGCGCCGCAUUAGCUAGUUGGUAAGGUAACGGCUUACCAAGGCAACGAUGCGUAGCCGACCUGAGAGGGUGAUCGGCCACACUGGAACUGAGACACGGUCCAGACUCCUACGGGAGGCAGCAGUAGGGAAUCUUCCGCAAUGGGCGAAAGCUUGACGGAGCAACGCCGCGUGAGUGAUGAAGGUCUUCGGAUCGUAAAACUCUGUUAUUAGGGAAGAACAAAUGUGUAAGUAACUAUGCACGUCUUGACGGUACCUAAUCAGAAAGCCACGGCUAACUACGUG